CUUGGUCAUUUAGAGGAAGUAAAAGUCGUAACAAGGUUUCCGUAGGUGAACCUGCGGAAGGAUCAUGAUCGUACACAGAGGCACGAGGGCUGUCGCUGACCUGUCAGGGUCGUGCACGCCCAAAGUGUACUCGCCCAUCCAUCUCACCCCUUUUGUGCAUCAUCGCGUGGGCCCCCCCUCCUCUCUAGGCUAGUCUCGGAGAAAGGGUGGUUCACGUUUUUCACACAAACACAUACAUGUAUUAUGUUGGCUUUUGCGUAUGACUCGCAAUCAAUACAACUUUCAACAACGGAUCUCUUGGCUCUCGCAUCGAUGAAGAACGCAGCGAAAUGCGAUACGUAAUGUGAAUUGCAGAAUUCAGUGAAUCAUCGAAUCUUUGAACGCACCUUGCGCCCCUUGGCAUUCCGAGGGGCACGCCCGUUUGAGUGUCGUGACAUUCUCAAAGCCCUUUCUUUGAAUGGACUUUGGACUUUGGAGGUUUUUAUUUGCUGGCCUCACUUCACUUUUGAGGUCAGCUCCUCUCAAAUGCAUUAGUGGGGAACAGCUUUGCGGGAAACCCUCGACGUGAUAGGAUGCUUCUGCUGCGUCUUGGGCCUUUUCGCUUUACACCCGCUUCUAAACCGUCAGCUUUCCUCAUUCAUUUUGGGGAGGGCUUUUGACCUCACGAAAACCUUGACCUCAAAUCGGGUGAGACUACCCGCUGAACUUAAGCAUAUCAAUAAGCGGAGGAAAAGAAACUAACAAGGAUUCCCCUAGUAACUGCGAGUGAAGCGGGAAAAGCUCAAAUUUAAAAUCUGGGGUCUUUGGCCAUCCGAGUUGUAAUUAGAGAAGCGUCUUCCGCGCUGGACCGUGCAC
This 855-nucleotide small RNA is filed under the name Russula sp. MD185. Its description in RNAcentral is "eukaryotic LSU rRNA". The stretch from base 278 to 431 matches the Rfam family "5.8S ribosomal RNA". Lineage: Eukaryota; Fungi; Basidiomycota; Agaricomycetes; Russulales; Russulaceae. The record is from RNAcentral.